RNAcentral lists this unclassified non-coding RNA (497 nucleotides) under Hevea brasiliensis (rubber tree). Lineage: Eukaryota; Viridiplantae; Streptophyta; Magnoliopsida; Malpighiales; Euphorbiaceae. The record is from RNAcentral.
UGAUGUUUAUAGCUUUGGGGUGGUCCUUCUGGAACUUUUGACUGGGAGGAAACCUGUUGAUCACACAAUGCCACGAGGACAACAGAGUCUUGUCACUUGGGCUACUCCAAGACUGAGUGAAGACAAAGUUAAACAAUGCGUAGAUCCAAAGCUGAAGGGAGAUUAUCCUCCUAAAGGUGUGGCCAAGUUGGCAGCUGUGGCUGCAUUAUGUGUGCAAUAUGAAGCUGAGUUCAGGCCUAAUAUGAGCAUCGUUGUGAAGGCACUCCAACCGCUUUUGAAGGCCCCAGCUCCUCAUCCUCCUCCUUCAGCAAGCUAAAAGCAAAGAAACAGUUACACCUUGAGUUGGAAAAUCUACAACUUGUGCGCAGUUUGGUUACUUUGCUUGCGGAUUCUUCUAAAUAUAUUUUUUGAUUGUUAGUAAAUGGGAUUGGAUGUGCAGGUUGGGGUUGGGAUUGGGCUGUUUAACAUCACUGAUGUAUCCUGUGUUGAAUACUGAU